AUUCAAAUAGUUUAAAUAAAAAUACUGGUUUGUGGAACCAGAGAUAUAAAUACUUAUUUUGGAUA
This 65-nucleotide transfer RNA is filed under the name Callipogon relictus. RNAcentral's name for it is "tRNA-His". It matches the Rfam family "tRNA". From Rfam's summary of the family: Transfer RNA (tRNA) molecules are approximately 80 nucleotides in length. Their secondary structure includes four short double-helical elements and three loops (D, anti-codon, and T loops). Further hydrogen bonds mediate the characteristic L-shaped molecular structure. tRNAs have two regions of fundamental functional importance: the anti-codon, which is responsible for specific mRNA codon recognition, and the 3' end, to which the tRNAs corresponding amino acid is attached (by aminoacyl-tRNA synthetases). tRNAs cope with the degeneracy of the genetic code in two manners: having more than one tRNA (with a specific anti-codon) for a particular amino acid; and 'wobble' base-pairing, i.e. permitting non-standard base-pairing at the 3rd anti-codon position. The record is from RNAcentral. Lineage: Eukaryota; Metazoa; Arthropoda; Insecta; Coleoptera; Cerambycidae.